AACGCACAUUGCGCCCCUUGGUAUUCCAUGGGGCAUGCCUGUUCGAGCGUCAUUUGUACCUUCAAGCUUUGCUUGGUGUUGGGUGUUUGUCCCGAGGGACUCGCCUUAAAGUCAUUGGCAGCCAGUGUUUUGGUUUUGAAGCGCAGCACAAGUCGCGAUUCAAGGCUAUACGCCCGCUUCCACAAGCCUUUUUCACUUUUGACCUCGGAUCAGGUAGGGAUACCCGCUGAACUUAA
This 236-nucleotide unclassified non-coding RNA is filed under the name uncultured fungus. RNAcentral's name for it is "partial contains 5.8S ribosomal RNA, internal transcribed spacer 2, and large subunit ribosomal RNA". Lineage: Eukaryota; Fungi. RNAcentral also lists the same sequence under 1 other name. The record is from RNAcentral.